CCCCCCAUUAGGGGAUAGAAUGAAAGAAUUUACACAAAACAACCUGUCUCUAUAUUAAACCAAGAAAUUUAUCUCCUGUGAAAAAGCCUGGCUUAAACAAAAAGACAAGAAGACCCUAAAAGCUUAAAAAUUAACUAUUUAAUUAUAAACAGAAUUUUUUAGUUGGGAGGACUACAAAUUAACUAAACAUUUGUUUUAAAAAGACCACGUCUAAUUAAUUUAACCAAAAAAAGAAUAUAAGUAAGCUACUUUAGGGGUAACAGGCUAAUAUUCUUUAAGAGUACACAUUGACAAGAAUGUUUGGCACCUCGAUGUUGGCUUAGGAACCCACUUUUAUGUAGAAGUAAAAUACGGGGGUUUGUUCAACCUUUAAAUUCCUACGUGAUCUGAG
This 391-nucleotide ribosomal RNA is filed under the name Trypanedenta gigantea. RNAcentral's name for it is "partial 16S large subunit ribosomal RNA". The stretch from base 70 to 391 matches the Rfam family "Bacterial large subunit ribosomal RNA", at positions 2045 to 2609 of the family's 2925-position model. Lineage: Eukaryota; Metazoa; Annelida; Polychaeta; Phyllodocida; Syllidae. The record is from RNAcentral.